RNAcentral lists this ribosomal RNA (483 nucleotides) under uncultured bacterium. RNAcentral's name for it is "partial 16S ribosomal RNA". It matches the Rfam family "Bacterial small subunit ribosomal RNA", at positions 29 to 507 of the family's 1533-position model. The record is from RNAcentral.
UUGAACGCUGGCGGCAUGCUUUACACAUGCCAGUCGAACGGCAGCGCGGGCUUCGGCCUGGCGGCGAGUGGCGAACGGGUGAGUAAUACAUCGGAACGUGCCCAGUAGUGGGGGAUAGCUCGGCGAAAGCCGGAUUAAUACCGCAUACGACCUGAGGGUGAAAGCGGGGGAUCUUCGGACCUCGCGCUAUUUGAGCGGCCGAUGGCAGAUUAGCUAGUUGGUGGGGUAAAGGCCUACCAAGGCGACGAUCCGUAGCUGGUCUGAGAGGACGACCAGCCACACUGGGACGGAGACACGGCCCAGACUCCUACGGGAGGCAGCAGUGGGGAAUUUUGGACAAAGGGCGAAAGCCUGAUCCAGCAAUGCCGCGUGUGUGAUGAAGGCCUUCGGGUUGUAAAGCACUUUUGGCGGGAACGAAAAGGACUGUGCCAAUACCACGGUUCGAUGACGGUACCCGCAGAAUAAGCACCGGCUAACUACGUG